UGCCUCUUCUUCGCAGUGAUUUGCUGCCUCCAUCUGGUAGCUGCCUCUUUUAUCUUCAUUUCAGGUAAGUCGAUUUUAGCUUCGUUAAUCACGUCACUUCUUUUGCUAUAUUCCAUGCUUAACGUAGUUGAUCUAUUUGAUGAAUUUGUUGCCAUAUUCCAUCUGGUAGCUGCUUCUGAUUCUUCAUAUUAGAUUUUCUUUUUAGGUGAAUUUGUUAUGUUGUAUAGAUCUAUUUAGUGUGAAUUAUGAUCUUCACUUAGUAGAUUCGAUAUUUUCUAUCGUUAGUUGGUGAAUUGUAUAAUUUUAAGUGCUUCGGUCUUGAUUAAUUGACGG
Molecule: unclassified non-coding RNA, 333 nt
Filed under: Hevea brasiliensis (rubber tree)
Lineage: Eukaryota; Viridiplantae; Streptophyta; Magnoliopsida; Malpighiales; Euphorbiaceae
Source: RNAcentral